UGACAGAAUUUCCUGGGUUUUUAAAGCAUAAAUAGUAUGUCAUUGUGUAUAUAUAUGUUACAUUUUUCUUAUGCAUUCGUCGGUUGAUGGACGCUUAGUUGAUGCCAUAUUUUGAGUGUCUUGAGUAAUACUGCCAUGAACAGCGGGAGUGCAGAUAUCUUUUUGACAUACGAAUUUCAUUUUUUUUUUUUUUGGCUAUGCAUCCAGUAAUAGCAGAAUUGUUGGAUCCUAUGCAUCAAUUCAAUGAAAGCUGUGAUUAAGAGGUUUCACACGGAUGGAGCUGGAAGCCAUUAUCCUCAGCAAACUAACACAGGAACAGAAAACCAAAUAGCGCAUCUUCUCACUUACAAGUGGGAGCUGAACAACGAGAACACAUGGACACAGGGAGGGAAAAAGCACACACCGGGGACUCUCAGGGGAGGGCA
This 425-nucleotide long non-coding RNA is filed under the name Homo sapiens (human). RNAcentral's name for it is "HSALNT0394736". The record is from RNAcentral. Lineage: Eukaryota; Metazoa; Chordata; Mammalia; Primates; Hominidae.